AGAGUUUGAUCAUGGCUCAGGAUCAACGCUGGCGGCGUGCCUAAUGCAUGCAAGUCGUGCGGGCUGCCUUUGGGCAGUCACGCGGCGGACGGGUGCGUAACACGUGGGCAACCUGCCCUGGGGCGGGGGGUAGCCUCCGGAAACGGAGGGUAAUUCCGCAUACGCUCGGCUCCCUCGUCGGGGGGUCGAGGAAAGGCGAAAGCCACCCCAGGAUGGGCCUGCGGCCGAUUAGCUAGACGGCGGGGUAACGGCCCACCGUGGCUGUGAUCGGUAGCUGGUCUGAGAGGACGGCCAGCCACACGGGGACUGAGACACGGCCCCGACACCUACGGGUGGCAGCAGCGAGGAAUCUUCUACAAUGGGCGCAAGCCCGAUAGAGCAACGCCGCGUGGAGGACGACGGCCUUCGGGUUGUAAACUCCUUUCGGGGGGGAUGACACAGGACAGUACCCCCAGAAGCAGCCCCGGCUAACUCUGUGCCAGCAGCCGCGGUAAGACAGAGGGGGCAAGCGUUGUCCGGAUUUACUGGGCGUACAGCGCGCGCAGGUGGUCCACUAUGUGCCGUGUGACAAUUGGAGGCUUAACCUCCAGCGGCCACGGUAGACAGGUGGACUGGAGGCAGGGAGAGGGCUGUGGAAUACCCGGUGGAGCGGUGAAAUGCGUAGAGAUCGGGUGGAACACCAGCGGCGAAGGCGGCAGCCUGGCCCUGUACUGACACUGAGGCGCGAGAGCGUGGGGAGCGAACAGGAUUAGAUACCCCGGUAGUCC
RNAcentral lists this ribosomal RNA (767 nucleotides) under uncultured Chloroflexota bacterium. RNAcentral describes it as "bacterial SSU rRNA". It matches the Rfam family "Bacterial small subunit ribosomal RNA", at positions 8 to 796 of the family's 1533-position model. Lineage: Bacteria; Bacillati; Chloroflexota. The record is from RNAcentral.